This 861-nucleotide ribosomal RNA is filed under the name Triticum aestivum (bread wheat). RNAcentral's name for it is "partial small subunit ribosomal RNA". The record is from RNAcentral. Lineage: Eukaryota; Viridiplantae; Streptophyta; Magnoliopsida; Poales; Poaceae.
AUGGAAGCUUUAGGACGGGGAAAGUUGCAACUGCCAAGUGGCAAAAUACAGCAUAGAAGGAAUGAAAUCCAAAAUUGGAAUCGGCCCAGCGUGCCCAAGUUCGGCACCUGGGACAGCGACAAUGUCGGCUACACGGUCUACUUCAAUAAGGUGCGCGAGAACAAGGGCGCCACUGCGCCGCCGCUCCAGCGGCCGUUCAACCCCAACGACCCGGAGGAGGAAGCCCCGAGGGUGAUCGCCCCGGGCUCCAGGCCGGCCACCUCCAGCGGCGACCGCGCGGCGCCGCAGCAGAACGGGCACCAGCACCGCCGGGCCGGUAGCAACAGCGCCGAGAAGAGCAAGUUCGCGCCGCCGCCGCAGUACCACCCGCGGCCACAGUUCACCCACCACCAGCCUCCGGCCGGACACGGCGGCGACAACGGCAACCACCGCCCUUCGUCCGGGCACGGCAGCGACCACGGCCAGCACCACCACCGCCCGGCCGGGCACGGCAGUGACCACGGCCACCACCACCACCGGCCGGUCGGGCACGGCGCGCACCACAAGCCGCAUGAGGCGAGGUACAAGCCGGCGGGGGCCCGGGCGCGGUCCGCCUCGCCGAACCACGCGCCGGGGCGGCAGAGGCCGACGGCGGUGCCCAAGUUCGGGGCGUGGGACGAGCAGAGUGCGGGGGCGCAGGGGUACACGGUGAUGUUCGACCGGGUGAAGCAUGACCGGGAGGCGGCCCGCCGCGGCGGGGUGCCGAACCUCCCUCGCCGCCGCAUGCCGUCGCCGGAGAGCUACACGGCCGCGAGGCGGCCCCGGCACACCCCCUUCUACUCCAAGAUGUUCGGGUGCUUGAUCCCUCACACCAAGGACUGA